GGAGGCGCAGUCCGGCGCCUGGCAGGAAGGAAGCCGGUGUGGUGAGCGGGGGGCCUCUGAGCAGAAUCCGCCCCCAUUCGCAAAGAGCCUCCUCAGGGGCGGCCGCUCCCUGUCCUUUGGGCAGCCGGAGGUCCCUCUGUCGCCUAGAGGCUGUGGAGGCAGCAGGAUCUGCUGAAAGCGCUUUGGUGUCAGCGGUUUACCAGGCACAACCGAAGCACGGAGAAGCCACAGCGGGGAGUGGGGAUGCUGAGUACACGGGCCUCUCACUGUUGUGGCCUCUCCUGUUGUGGAGCACAGGCUCCGGACGUGCAAGCUCAGCGGCCAUGGCUCACGGGCCCAGCCGCUCCGCGGCAUGUGGGAUCUUCCCGGACCGGGGCACGAACCCGUGUCCCCUGCAUCGGCAGGCAGACUCUCAACCACUGCGCCACCAGGGAAGCCCCCCACUAAUGAACUUGAUGAUGUAUGUAUUGACUCUGAGGAGCUACCCCCUCUGAGCCGCAGGAGCAUGGUUGGGGGCCUGCAUCCUCUCCAGGCCCUCCCCCGAAUCCUGGCAGGGAUGCCGGCUCCAGGCAGGAACUCCUGCGACACAUCCACACCCUCCAAUUGCCCCUUCGGUGCUACUCACACAGCACCCAGGGCUCCUGGUGACCCUCAGAGUGUCUUAAUGCCACACCCCCAGCUGAGGACAAGGCCUUGGGGGCCCUGCUUGUUGCAGGCCAGGCCAACCUUUCAUCACCCAGGGGCUGAGUGGGAAGCAGACCUGGGCUCAAACCCUUCUCUGCCCCACUGGGUGGUCGGGUGGGGACCCAGUUUCUCCAUCUGUGUCUGGUACACAGGUAGCUCCGUGCUAGGAGGUGGGAGAUGCCUAGGCCAGGGAGUCAAGUUUGGGGGACUUUUAGCUAACAGCCCCCCUUCAAGUCAGAUUUGGUCACUCACCCUUAGAAGCUCCUUGGCGGCAUCCCCAUGACUGCAGUGGCACCUGAGUUCUCCUUCCCUGGCUUCCAUGCCAAGCCUUUCCUGCCCAAUCCCAUGGUGCCUUUGCCUUUCCUGUGUCUUCCUUUGGGUACUGUGUCUGCCCCUACCCACUUAGGCCUGGCUGGCCCUCAGCACCAUGUCAGCAGCCAGGCUGCACUUGGGGGCUGUGUCCUACCAUGAACACAUGGCCCUGGGGCCCCACCACGUCGCCCCACCCCAGGAGCAUCCCCAGUUGGACUCCCCUGUGGGCCCAGACAGGAGGGGGAAUCCUGCUGCCUCUGAGAGGGGUUGGCUGGACCAGAAGGCCUCCUGCUGUCCAAGCCCAGAUGACACCAUGGGGAGCUCCUGGCCCGCCCGUCAGCCCCCUCACAUGCAGCACCAACUUUCAUCGGUGCUGGGUCCCCCGGCCUCGUGCUCCUACAUCAUCCAGGCCACUGUUGCUCGGCCUGGAAAUCCUUCUCGAGGGGGUGAAAACAGGGUCAGCGUGCCAGCCAGUGCCCGGCGUCUGCGUGAAGGUCUCAGAGCAGCUUGUGUUCACAGAAACAGACCCAGUCUGUGUGGCGGGUCACAGCUGGGCGGGGAGCAGAGUUCCAGUGUUUAUUAUCGUACAUAUAUAUAUUUCAUGUGUAUACACAGAUAGUUUUCUCUCUUAGAAGUAUUAAAAAAUUGAUCAACCUUCAAUCUAUAAAAAA
Orcinus orca (killer whale) is the source of this 1667-nucleotide long non-coding RNA. RefSeq lists it as uncharacterized. The record is from RefSeq and is a predicted model, not a curated record. Lineage: Eukaryota; Metazoa; Chordata; Mammalia; Artiodactyla; Delphinidae. The transcript is spliced from 2 exons.